CCGGAGGCUGCAGUACCGCACUUCUGGGACCGCAUUUCUAGGACCCUUGAUUUUCGCGACAGCGCGACCUAUCGUUACGGAAUUGGAUAACCACUGACCGCAUUUCUGAGCGGAAAGAUGGAUGAUAUGAGUUGAGGAACAGCAGGACACACUGUACGCCUAUUUGAAGGAAACUCCUGCAAAUGACACUAACGCAGUGGAGCUACUCAGAUGAAGUGCAGUUCAUGUUUAGAGUUCUGAUUCCAGAGGCCAUCAUAUAUGGCCUGUCAGUGCUGCAGAAUGUGUCUGUACAGGAGGCUGAGCAGGUCUUCCUCUCUGGGCCACAAUCAGAGUUAAGUGGAGGAAUUUAGUUGAGGUAUACACAAACACUUAAUGAAAGAAAGGGGAACAUUGAAGAGGAAACCAUAGAGGCAGCUGCGCAGUUCCAUGGGUUCCCAUGGGUUCUUGGACCUCGUGACAUAAACAAUUCAGUUUUCUUUGUGUUUUUUGUGACUUGUAACUACUGAUCCUGAUUCAUUUCUUACACUACUGAACUGCUAUCCCACCUCUCCAUUCGAUUGCACACACUUGCUAGGUUUCAUUUUACUCAGUAAGAUGGGGGUGAUUAAGGCGAAAUGGCCACGUGUCUGUUUAACAGUUGAAUUGCAGGUCAUGUGUUUGCCUGAUAAAUAAGGGCUGAUGUAAUUAGCGUGUGUUUGGUUGAGAAGUUGCGUUGUUAGACAGUCAAUGUUAUUCUAUUUUUGUGGUAAUACUGAAGCAAUAUAAAUCCUUAAUGUUGAGGGAUUACGAAUGGAAGCCUCACCUGUACAGCCAACUCUGAUUGGCUUCCAGAGGACCCCUGAGUCACUCGCCCUGGUGUGUGUGUGUGUGUGUGUGUG
Epinephelus fuscoguttatus (brown-marbled grouper) is the source of this 878-nucleotide long non-coding RNA. RefSeq lists it as uncharacterized. The record is from RefSeq and is a predicted model, not a curated record. NCBI's taxonomy places the organism in Eukaryota, Metazoa, Chordata, Actinopteri, Perciformes, Serranidae. The transcript has 5 exons.